RNAcentral lists this ribosomal RNA (497 nucleotides) under uncultured bacterium. RNAcentral's name for it is "partial 16S ribosomal RNA". It matches the Rfam family "Bacterial small subunit ribosomal RNA", at positions 28 to 507 of the family's 1533-position model. The record is from RNAcentral.
GAUGAACGCUGGCGGCGUGCCUAAUACAUGCAAGUCGAGCGAACAGAUGAGGAGCUUGCUCCUCUGACGUUAGCGGCGGACGGGUGAGUAACACGUGGAUAACCUACCUAUAAGACUGGGAUAACUUCGGGAAACCGGAGCUAAUACCGGAUAAUAUAUUGAACCGCAUGGUUCAAUAGUGAAAGACGGUUUUGCUGUCACUUAUAGAUGGAUCCGCGCCGCAUUAGCUAGUUGGUAAGGUAACGGCUUACCAAGGCAACGAUGCGUAGCCGACCUGAGAGGGUGGACGGCCACACUGGAACUGAGACACGGUCCAGACUCCUACGGGAGGCAGCAGUAGGGAAUCUUCCGCAAUGGGCGAAAGCCUGACGGAGCAACGCCGCGUGAGUGAUGAAGGUCUUCGGAUCGUAAAACUCUGUUAUUAGGGAAGAACAAAUGUGUAAGUAACUAUGCACGUCUUGACGGUACCUAAUCAGAAAGCCACGGCUAACUACGUG